RNAcentral lists this ribosomal RNA (497 nucleotides) under uncultured bacterium. RNAcentral describes it as "partial 16S ribosomal RNA". It matches the Rfam family "Bacterial small subunit ribosomal RNA", at positions 28 to 507 of the family's 1533-position model. The record is from RNAcentral.
GAUGAACGCUGGCGGCGUGCCUAAUACAUGCAAGUCGAGCGAACGGACGAGAAGCUUGCUUCUCUGAUGUUAGCGGCGGACGGGUGAGUAACACGUGGAUAACCUACCCAUAAGACUGGGAUAACUUCGGGAAACCGUAGCUAAUACCGGAUAAUAUUUUGAACCGCAUGGUUCAAAAGUGAAAGACGGUCUUGCUGUCACUUAUAGAUGGAUCCGCGCUGCAUUAGCUAGUUGGUAAGGUAACGGCUUACCAAGGCAACGAUGCAUAGCCGACCUGAGAGGGUGAUCGGCCACACUGGAACUGAGACACGGUCCAGACUCCUACGGGAGGCAGCAGUAGGGAAUCUUCCGCGAUGGGCGAAAGCCUGACGGAGCAACGCCGCGUGAGUGAUGAAGGUCUUCGGAUCGUAAAACUCUGUUAUUAGGGAAGAACAUAUGUGUAAGUAACUGUGCACAUCUUGACGGUACCUAAUCAGAAAGCCACGGCUAACUACGUG